This 9294-nucleotide long non-coding RNA is filed under the name Durio zibethinus. Its description in RNAcentral is "long non-coding RNA (DZIB_LNC001940)". The record is from RNAcentral. Lineage: Eukaryota; Viridiplantae; Streptophyta; Magnoliopsida; Malvales; Malvaceae.
GAGCUCUCUCCUCCAGCCUUCUAAUUCUUGGAGCAAGUCCACACACAAAGUCUUGGGCUUUACGCCCAUCAGCUGAAAGUCCGGUUAGGUCCUUCACCUUCCAUCUGUCAACCAGGUACUCUACUAUAUCAGCAUAGUCCUUGGCAGUGUAAACCCCAAGUCUUUGGGCAACAGCUGAGUAGUGGUCGAAAAGGGUGUCAUCUCGGCCAUCAUAGAUGAACUCGGCUGGCAUGGUGAUUUUCUUCCUCAUCAUGUCAGCAAAGGCCAGGACUGUUUCAUCAGGAUCAAUUUCAAAGAGCUUUUCAACAAUUUUGGUGUAUGCAGUCUCAUGACGCUUUUCAUCUGAUGCAAUGCUACCACAAAUUUGAGCCAAAUUCAUGUCCCCGUGCUCCUUGGCAAGCCUGGCUGUAUUUGCAUGGGAGAUGAAAGUUGCCCUUUCUUGGAAUGUUGUGUAGAUGAAUCCUCGAUAUGGACUAUUCUCUGUAUGGGGAUCCUACAAAUAUACAGAAGAAAACUUAAAAAAUUGAUCAAUAGGGCAAAAAGAGCUCAGUUUAACACCGUCGGAUUGUAACCAUAUACAAUGGCAUCUUUCAUGUUUGCUUUUGAGUGAAAAGUAAUUAAAUGUCAAUAAUCCUCCAAAAUUGCACUCCUUAACGAUGGUAAAAGAGUAAGACCUCAUUAGGGGACACUUUUACAAAAAUUUAGUGAAAUUCCAAAUGUGAAGUUGCGCAAUGUUAAUAUGCUUCAUUUUCACAAGGUUUUACCCCAAAUUAGAAGAUGAAAAGAAACAAAAAGAAAGGCGAACAUGACUUUGAAGAACUAUGUCCAUGGGUUUUCUCCGCCCUCCACGCACAAAGAAAACACUACCAAAAGACUAAAGAAAAUAGAACUUAUACUGUCUUAGAGACUGCAAUAUGCUGUCCAUCAAUGAACUGCAAAGGAUUCAAUAUAGUUCUGCACAUUAAACGACGAGAAGUGAGUCAAUUGUGUCGCAAGCAUCUUACCAUUCCUGAUCCAAUCAAAUACUGGAUUGUCUUCUCAACUUGCCUCAUGUCCACUCUUCCAGACAAGUAGAGAUACUUAUUAAGUAGAUCACCAUGCCUGUUUUCUUCUGCCGUCCAUGCCCUCGUCCAAAUUGCCCAAGGAGUAAGGCUAGCACCUGUUUCAUCACAAGUUCCAUCUAAGGUAUUGAGCAUUGUUUGGUAAGUUGGAAGGGCUUCCUCUGUGAUCAUAUCACCAACCAAUACAACAUAGUAAUCAUCUGGAAUCUCCUUUGCCCUUUGCCUAAGUUCUUUGACUUGCUCCUCAAAUCCAUCCGAAUUUGGAUCAGGGAGAAAAUCCUGGGGUUGCCAACAUUUUUCAACUGGUUUGAGAUGAGUUAGAAUGUUCUUCUCAGCCCAGUUCUCCAAAGAUUUAAAGAUCUCAAUCUUCUGAGGUGGCAUGGAGUGGGUGACCUGACCAUGCACCUCCCUAGGAGGCAUGAAAGGCUUUUUGAGAUUUUCAACUUCUCUGCAUUAUGUAAAAUGAAUUUGAAACUACAUUCUCAUAGAUCAGAUAUAUCAGUAAGGAUUAAAAGGCAACAACAAAUUAUAAAAGCACAAAUCCCAUCUCACAAAUUGGGCUACUGCAUGUUCCAGGUAUCCAGCACAUGAAAACUAUAAAGCAAGGUAUAAUGGAAUAUGCAAUAGCAAUGUAAUUAGACAGCUUUAUGUGUUCACAAAAAGAAAAGCAGUUCUGCACCAAAAAAAAAAAAAAGGAACAGCAGCUUUAUUAUGUGUAACAUACCCUAUGCCACUACUUACACUACCAGACUUAAUUUCAUUAAUGGAGUCAAUUAGUUACUUGGCUGUAAAGUAUAAUUCAAUUUAGAAGGAAAAUACUUUGUUGUUAACGGUGCAAUUAAUGUACAGCCACCAGAAAUGACCAAUACCAGGAAGAAAACUCAAGGAAAAUUAUUUACAUGUUCUUUUUCUAGUACAUGAAUAUUUUGCUAUGACUCAAAAUUUGCAAGGAAAUAAUAAAAUAUCCUUGAACGAUAAAUGGAAGUGAAGAAUGUUGGAAGUAUCAGCCAAAUAAUCUGUUGAUUAAAGUGUUAACAUAAAGUAGAUUCAAAGACGAAACAGAAGCACCAUCAAUAAAUUGUGCAAGAAAUUAUAAAAGACAAAGUUUAAAAAAUUAUCAACCAUGAGAAACAUUUUAUUCUGUUUAAAAACCAGACCUAAAAACCAAAAAAAGGAUGAGAAUAACAGAGAACUGAGGACUCAGGACAACAUAUUCUGAACUACUUCUACCAAAUGCAAUAUUCUUUUAAAAAUAUAGAUUCAACAAUAUUGCAAAAAAAGUAACAUGAGAUUACUUAAAGGAAAAGAAAAAGGAAAGCCUUGUUACCUAUCAACAUGUCUAGAGAAUCUAAACCACUUCCACCAACUUGAAACAAAGAAAAAUGGAAUAGAAGGAAAUAUAGUUGGAAAAAGUUUUAGAAAAAAAAAUCAGCUAAUAAAAUGUAAUUACACCAGAUAAAUGAACCAAAAAUGAAAAUAUCAUUUUGUGUGGAGACCCAAGAUUUGAAAUUGAAUAAAAACACAGAAGGCACAGUGAUAUAGCAGAAACAAUCUCAUAUAGCAUGGAAACCCCAAGAGCAUAUGCAGAGACAGGCAUGGAUUAAGAUCAUAAGACAUCACCAAACAAAAGAGAGGUCUUGAAAGCCAUGUCAGAUAGCAAAAAUAACAAAAACCCAGAUCCAAAAUCAGCUAUAAGUAAAGAAAGAUCCAUGAUUUCACAAGAAAACAAUGAAUAAAAAGUAAACAAAAAAAAAAAAAAAAGACACUAACUUGGAGCCAGAAGGAAGAGUGGAGACCAUGGAAACCUUGGGAGAUCUGAGGCUGGCCUUUGGUGUAAGACCAAAAGAAUGGAGUUUCUGAGAUUGUGAGGCAAAGGGAUUGAAUUUCAAAGCCAUUUUUUUUUCCUUUUCGCUUUAGGGUUUUUUUGGUUUUAAGACUCCCUCCGCUUUUGUUAUUGUUUUGGUUUCACAUCUUAUAUUUCCUCCACAAAAGAAAGACAGCCCAGGAUAUUUACUGGGUGCCACUUUAACAUAUUAGCCUUAACUUUUGUUUUAAUUACAGAUUGCCCACGCAUCUAUUCAUGUUAUUAUUCCUCUCUUAAAUUUUUCUCAUAUCCGCUAACUGGCAACCGUCACAAUAACUCUUCUUUAAAAUCAGCCUUUGUGAGUCAACAGAUAGUUGACUAAACUUUAAUUUAUUAUAUUUAAAUUAAUUAAAAAAUAAUAAAACAAAAUUUAAAAUCCUUUAAUACUAAAAAUAUAAACUAACGAAGAUUUUGAUAAACUAUUCAUAAAUUAAGAGUGUAAACCAAUAAAUUUUUGAUAAAUUUUUUAUAAAUAUAUUUUAUUUUUUAAGUAUAUUUAUUAAAUUUAAUAAUCAAUCUUAACAAUAUUUUUCAUAUUCAUUUAUUAAAUAAAUCUAACACAAAUAAGAGUUUGUCUGAUUUAUUUAUAUUUAUUAAUAAAUUUAUUUAAAUUUCAUUUAUUUAUUUUGUUUAUUAUUUAUUUGUUGUUUAUUUUUAAUAAUAUUAACAAAAUUAUAUUUUUAUCUUUUAUUUUAAUUUAAUUUAAUUUAUUUAAAUUUAUUUAUUAUUUAUUAACAUGUUUAUUUAUAUUAUUUAUUUAAUAAUCAUGAAUAAAUUCAUUUAAUUUUAUUAAAUUAAAUAUAAAUAAAACAUAAAUAUUUUAAUAAUUAAAAGAAUCAAAUUUAAAUGAAUAAAAUAAUUUUUUUAUCAAAUAUAAACUGAAUUCAAAUAUGUUUAAAAAUAAAUAAAUAAAUCACGUAAAUAUAUAAUAUUCGUUCGAUAAUUUAUAAUUAGGUAAUCAUUUUCGGUCCUAUUUAAUACUAAUUAAAAAAAAGUUUUCUUAUUAUAAAACAAACAAUAUAGAUGAUUUUGGGAUUUUUAUGAAUGUCAGCCGGCAAAGUCCAACACCAAUUUUUUAAAAUGUUUUUUGUUUGUCUUGUCCUUGUACUUAACAAACGAUGAAGAUGAAAUGGGACGUCUGUUCCUUGCCAGCUGGUGUCGUCCCAAUAUAAUCUCUUUAAAAAUAAUUUUUUUAUUAAAUAAAUAGUUUUGAGCCUCUCUAGAAUGUCUUAAAUAAAAGUAUUUAAUGUCUUCCUAAUCUUAGCCUUUAAUGGUUAAGUUACAUUGAUGAAAGCAUGUAGACGAAAAUUUUAAUUCCGUCAUCUUUUCUAAUUUUGCUUUUUUAUAAAUCAAUAUAUAUGUGUUAAAUAAGUAUUCGAUGAAAAUUAUAUAUUAUAAUUAAUAUUAAUAUAAAAAAUAUAAAUAUAUAUUUUAAAUUUUAUUAAAAUUAUAUAUAAUUUUUACAAUAAUUUUAAUUUUAUAAUUUUUAAUUUUUUAAAAUUAUUUUUAUAACAUAUCAUCAAAUUAUAUUUUAAAUUAUUAUAUUUUUCUUAUCAAGUCAUGUUUCGAUAUAUUUCUUUAAAAAAUAAUUUUUUUAUUAAAUGAAUAGUUUUGAACCUCAUUUAUAUAUGGGAAUAGUAGAUACGUAUUAAGUACAAAAAUUAAAUAAGUAAUGGAUGGCUCAACGACUCGUCAAAGAUACUUAUUGAAUGAAUGAAUUUAAUCACAUUAAUCAUUUUUUUAAAAAUAUAUUAUAUAUACGUAACAAUUAUAUAAAAUAUUAUUAAUAAUUAAUAUAUUUAUAUCGUAUUUUAUAUAAAAAUUAUAUAUUAUUAUUAGUGUGACUAAAAAAAUAUAAAAUAUAUUUUUUAUUUUUAUAAAAUUUAUAUAUAAAAUUUUAAUAAUUUUAAUUAUGUUCUUGUUAUAUAAUUUUUAUAUUAUUUUUAAAAUAUAUUAUUAUAUUUUAUUUUAAAUUAUCAAAUUUAAUAAAUUUCAUUCACGUAAAAAUUUUAUAAUCAAUUGAAGAAAAGUAAAAUUAAAAAUGCAUGCAUGUAUAAAUUAAGUGUUCAACACCUCACACACUAUUCAAAAAUUAUAGCAAAAAUGUUAAUGGACCGACAAUUAAAGAUGCAGUCGAUGGAUAAUCACCAUAAGGAAAAUUAUUUUAAAUGUGCUCCUAUGUUUCCACUACAUGCAUAUAUAAUUUAUUUAAUUUUAGUUGUUAUUAAUCUAUUUGAGUAUAAUAUUAAAUUAAAAAAUGUUUUAAAAACGCACUUUGCGGGAAAGAAAAAUUCAUAGUUCAUUUUCAUCGAGCUUUAACUUUUUAUAAUAAAUUUAUAACAUUGUAUAUUUGUGUUAUAUAAAAUAUUAAUAAAUUUAUAUAUUUAUAUUAUAUUUUAAAUAAAAAUUAUAUAUUACAAUUUAUAUUUACAUGAAUAAUUUAAAAUAUAUAGUUUUAUUUUUAUUAAAAAUAUAUAUAGCUUUUAUUAAAAUUUUAAAUAAUAUCAUUUUUAUUUUUUUUCAUACGUUUUUUUUAGUGCUUUGAAUUACAAGUUUAAAAAAUCCAACUGUAAGGAAUGCCAGAUGCUUCUAGAAUAUGAGCAUAGCUGAGAAGUGGUCGAAAAGGUUGUCAUCUCCGUCGUUAUAUAUCACAAAUUGGCUAGCCUGGCUGUUGGGGAUCCAUUCUUUAAAUUAGGACGUUUAAAAAAUAAGAAAUUUGGAAAUAAUUUUUUAAAAAUAUUACUUUAUUGAUAAAAUUAAUAAAUUUAAUUAUAUAUCAUAAAUGAUAUCAAUCUACUAGCAUGAGAAAUUUUCCCCGUCCAUGUCAGCAAAUGUCAAGACAGUUUCACGAGGAUAAUCUCAAUGAGAACAGAACGGAUAUUUAUUAUUUUUUAAAUAUAUAAAUUUAUUUAAUAUUGAUAAUAUCUGAAUUUAUUAAAUAUUUAUUUAAAUUUAAAUUUAUUUAGAUAAAUAUUAUUUGUUUAAUUAUUUGUUUAUUUAAAUUUUUAGUCAAAAUAAAAAACAAAAAUUUUAUUUAAAAUUUAUGUUCACUUUUAAUUACUAAUAAAUAAAACUUAUUUUUUAAGAUUGAAACUUUUUACAAAUAUAAAAUUUUAUAUAUUAUAUAUAUAUAUAUAUAAAUAGAUAAUAAAUUUAUAUAUGAAUUCUUAUAUCAGUUACUAUUUAUUAAAAUUUAGAUAAAUUUAAAUAUUAAAUAUUUAAAAAAUAUUAUUGUAUCCAUUCUGAAUUUAUUAUGAAUAAUAAAUUUUUUAUCUAAAUUUAUUAAUUAUCUAUUUAUAAUUAUUUAAAUUUGAUAUAAAUAAAUCGAAUAAUAACAAAUUUGUGUUUAUUUAUUAUUUAUUACCAUCCUAAUCUCAGACAGCCUUUUAACUAUUUUAGUUUAGGUUGUGUGAUGGCGCUUUUCAUGAGGCAAUCAUUCAUACGGCAUGUUUGAGCUGAUGUCCCCAUGCUUCUUCUCAAGUUUGGCUGUAUUCCCAUGGGAGAUCAAAGUUGGUCUUUUUUAGAAUGAUUUGAUGAAUCUCAUGUAUAAAUAUUAUUCACAAUAAGAUAAUUUACAAUGAUGGAUUGAUAAAAAUAAUAGGAGUUCAAUUUCAAAACUAAAUAUAUAAUCACAAUUGUGUUCCAGAGCUCCAAAGAAUGUGAAGUUUCAAAUUAAACCAUAAGAAGUGAGUUAAUUAUAGUUACCGUUCCUAUCGAGUUUUGAGUUAAAAGAGUAAAAUUUUAAAAUCAUAAAAAUUAAAAAAAUAACGGUUAAAAAGAUAAAAAUUAAAAAAUUAAAAUUUUUUUUAAACUUUACGUUUUCGAUGCUCAAAUUAAAAAUUGAUAAAAAAAUAAAAAAAAUGAAACGUGCAAAUAAUACCUAAAUAACUCUAUUUAUAGUUAAAGAUAAAAAAUUUUGAGACGAUUUAAGCAAUUUAAGAUCAAUUUUAUGAUUAAGAUGAUUUAGUAAGUCGAAUUGAUAUGAUCAAUAAUCAUUCACUUAAAAAAUGAUAAAUUAGCAUAAAAAAAUUUUAAAAUAAAUUAAUGAAAUGAUUAAAUUGAUAUAAUAUUAUACGUAUUAAAUCGAUUAACAGCUACUAUUAUCAAAUUAUCUCAUGCAAACAAGUAGAGAUACAAAAUAAUCAUCUGGAAUGUCCUUUGCCCUUUCCCUUUGCUCAUGAAAUCCAUCAGAGGCAGGCCCUGCAAGAGAAUCCUGGGGCUGCAGCAUUUGUAAAUUGGUUUUGAGGUGAAUUCUGCACCAUCACUAGAAAUGACAAUGUGUCAUAUUGGAGUUGAUUUUUAUUUAUUUCGAGCUUAAUUUUAUAUAAUAAAAAAUUAAAAAUUUGAAAAUAUUAUUUUUAUAUCAAAUUUAAUUUGUAUAUAUAUAAAAACUAAAAUUAAGUUGAUUUGAUUUAAAAUUAAUAAAAUAUUUUUAAAAUAUAAAAUAUAAAUAAAUAAAAAAUUAAAUAAAUAAAAAAUAUUUUAUAUAUAUCGAAUCAAAUUAGAAUUGAUAUACUUAAAACUUAAUUUUGAUUUUUUUCAAAAAAAAUUGAUGUAAUCUAAAUUGAUUUAAAAAUCAAUUUUAAAAUUUUUUUAUAAAAUCACAUCGAAUUAAAAUAGAUAAAUUCAAAAUAAAUUGUUAACCUUAAUAAUCACCCUAUAAAAAAGAAACCUAUAAAAAAAGAAAGGAUUUGAGAACCUUGAUAGUAACCGUUUCAAAAGACAAUGGAGCUCCACCUGCAAUGCGAUGAAAAGACACAAAAGACUUGGAUUUCAAACCAAGUUCGCCUUCCUCUUUCAAUAGGCUUUGCCUCCACUCCUUUGAAACCCAACAAAAAAAAAAUAAUAAUAGAGCAUUGCAAGACAAAACAAAAAUAGGGAAGAGAUGACAGAAAUUGUCAGAUGAGAUAUCAAGUCCCCCGACAGAAUCUCAGUACUCAGGGCCAAGUGUUAGCGUCAUGCAACUUCAUGUCCGUGUUGUUCAGAACCCACAUUUGACAAUUUUAAAUAUAAUAUAAUAAUAUAAUAAAAAAAAGUUAUAUGAAAAAUAUAACAAUAAUAUAAUUUAAAUUUAAUAAAAUUUGAUUUAAUUGAUAUAUUUGAAUUUUUAUUUACAAAAUUUAAAUUCCAAUCUCGAUGUUAUCAAUUUUUAUUAGUAAAUGAUUUAUAAAUUUAAUAUAAAUUUUUUAUGAAAUUUGCCAUUUGUGAUUAUUUUUAAAUUAAAAAUCUAUCCUCAUUUUAAAAUUUUAAUUUACCAAAAAAAAAAAGCAAAAUUCUUAUAUGAACUUUAAAAAAUUAAAAAUAUAUUUUAUAUCUAAUAUAUUAAUAAAAAUUAUAAUAUAAUAUAUUUUAUAUUUUAUAUUUAUUAAAUAUGAAAUAAUUGAAUACCAACAACACCUGCCCUCUUCCAUUGCUCCUGCAAUACUAACACGUGAUAGAGAUACGUCAUACAACCAAAUCCUGAAGGGCACGUGGGAUCCAUCUGGUCAGGUGGUCAAGUUGGAUCUCUCUUAUUACAUGGUCCCAAACGCGGGGUCACGUGACGGAGAUCCUGCGAAAUUCUCUUCGAAUCACUUGGUCAGAUACAUUUCAACGGUCGGUGAUAUAGAUUUAAGUAAAAGUGAAAAUAAUAAUAAUAAUUCAUAAUUUUUUUUUCAAAAUGUUAAUAGCAAAUAUUUAAUUCUAACCAAGAUAAUUCAAUUACAGAAAAAAUAUCAAAAUUUUAACAAUAAUUCAAUUACAUAGAAAACAUCAUAUUUUUUGUCUGUUAUCUGCUUACAUAUUCUUUCUCAUGGUGAUAAUAUUUCAGCAAUUGUCUUACCAGAUUAAAGCCAUUUUCUUGUAUUUUUUUAUGUAUCUAGAGCUACUGAAAAUGAAAUAAAGAUCAAAAAAGAUUUUUAAACAGAAGUUAAACACAAGUUUAAACAAAAGUUCUUGCUGUUACAUUACAUAGGAAUUUAAACAGAAGUUGCAGCUUCAUCAUGUUUCUCUCUAGCUUGGUUUUUCCUCUAAUGAGAACACGCGUGCAGGAGAGGGGCAUUGAUAUUUCCUUUUUAAAGACCUUAGAGACUCACUUCUCUAUCAAAAAUCCAACUGAAUGGAAUACUAGGUGCUUGCUCGGCCCUUUCUUGAGCUCUCUCCUCCAGCCUUCUAAUUCUUGGAGCAAGUCCACACACAAAGUCCUGAGCUUUACGCCCCUCAGCUGAAAGUCCAGUUUGGUCCUUCACCUUCCAUCUGUCAACCAGGUACUCUACUAUAUCAGCAUAGUCCUUGGCAGUGUAAACCCCAAGUCUUUGGGCAACAGCUGAGUAGUGGUUGAAAAGGUUGUCAUCUCGACCAUCAUAGCUGAACUCAGCUGGCAUGGUGAUU